AUACGGAGGAUCCGAGCGUUAUCCGGAUUUAUUGGGUUUAAAGGGAGCGUAGGCGGACGCUUAAGUCAGUUGUGAAAGUUUGCGGCUCAACCGUAAAAUUGCAGUUGAUACUGGGUGUCUUGAGUACAGUAGAGGCAGGUGGAAUUUGUGGUGUAGCGGUGGAAUGCUUAGAUAUCACGAAGAACUCCGAUUGCGAAGGCAGCCUGCUGGACUGUAACUGACGCUGAUGCUCGAAAGUGUGGGUAUCAAACAGGAUUAGAUACCCUGGUAGUCCACACAGUAAACGAUGAAUACUCGCUGUUUGCGAUAUACAGUAAGCGGCCAAGCGAAAGCGUUAAGUAUUCCACCUGGGGAGUACGCCGGCAACGGUGAAACUUAAAGGAAUUGACGGGG
RNAcentral lists this ribosomal RNA (393 nucleotides) under uncultured bacterium. Its description in RNAcentral is "partial 16S ribosomal RNA". It matches the Rfam family "Bacterial small subunit ribosomal RNA", at positions 523 to 918 of the family's 1533-position model. The record is from RNAcentral.